Molecule: ribosomal RNA, 253 nt
Filed under: uncultured bacterium
Lineage: Bacteria
Description: partial 16S ribosomal RNA
Rfam family: Bacterial small subunit ribosomal RNA
Source: RNAcentral
UACAGAGGUGGCAAGCGUUGUUCGGAAUUACUGGGCGUAAAGGGCGCGUAGGUGGCCUUCUUAGUCAGACGUGAAAUCCCCAGGCUUAACCUGGGAACUGCGUCUGAUACUGGAAGGCUUGAGUUCGGGAGAGGAAUGUGGAAUUCCAGGUGUAGCGGUGAAAUGCGCAGAUAUCGGGAAGAACACCCGUGGCGAAGGCGGCUCUCUGGGACGGUGCUGACGCUGAGACGCGAAAGCGUGGGGAGCGAACAGG